UAUUUAAAAUUUGAUAAAAGAGCCAAAGUAUGAAUCUGAGAACUUAUUUAUAAGAUUUGGGGGAUUUGUUCAAAAAAAAAAAAAAUCUGAGGACCUAUUUGUGAACCCUGAGGACCUAAUCGUAAAUAUAAUAAUACAAGGACUAAACUGCAAAAUGCACAAAAUUACAAAUUCCACCGUUUAAGCCUCUCUGCCUUUGUUCAUAAGGAAC
Molecule: long non-coding RNA, 211 nt
Filed under: Musa acuminata (dwarf banana)
Lineage: Eukaryota; Viridiplantae; Streptophyta; Magnoliopsida; Zingiberales; Musaceae
Description: long non-coding RNA (MACU_LNC008545)
Source: RNAcentral